ACCAAUUGUCUCUUUGUUAUGCUACUGACAUUGCUGUGUCUUGUCUGGAGUUCACCAAAGGCUUACCACCAUGACAAAGUUAUUAGGUGUAGGCCUGUUAACGAAAAGCCCUUUUCAGCAACGUGUCUCACACAGAAAUGUUCAUGACCGCUUCCAACAACAGUAAGGAACCCUGGGGCUAAAACUCUUUUUGCGUUCUCCACUCUGCAUGCAGUGCAGGCUUUCCAACAACCCCUGAAUUACACAAAACUCUUGACAAGGUCUUCAGGAAAUGAGGUGGUACUCAGGGCCCUCCACAUUGUGCUUUUCUGUUUCCAAUGCUGUGGUGUCUCCGCUAUAUCUUUAUCUAUGUAGCACCAUGAACUUUUCCAGCUCCAAUAUACUUCACUUAAGUAAUUUUAUUUAAGGAUUUUAUUUAAGUAGUUGUCAACGGUUUACGGGCGUUCGGCCCGGUUCCAUGAUGAAUGGGACAGGGGACCCACGGACCCACACCCUGGGAAAGGGAAAAGGGAAAAAAACAGUAAGGAGAUGGUCCUGAGAGCAAAAACAGCGGCAACAAUCUGAGGAGAUCCAUUACAGUAGUUAAGAAAAACCUGUGUUUUCCUUAAUAGAAAUAAUAGAGGGAAACAAAUUAUGAGAUUAUGCAUCUAAUUAUAACUGAAUAUGGCAAUAUUAAGUUGGUUGUCCACUGAGAAUGGGAGUCACCAUGACAAAACUGCUGAGUGUUCUGGAAGUCAAAAGCCUGCUACUACAUAGAGCUGUUAAAAAAAAAGAAAAAGAUAUAGGGUAGGAGCAACCAUUUCACUUUUUGGGUUAAUUUUCUUGAAAUGUUUAGCUGCAGUGUGGUUCAUUUAGAGAUAUUAGGUAAGGAGAUAGUGUAGAAAUGAGAAUAAAAGUAUCUUAUUUGAAAACGAAGUACAUCAUGAGAGAACUAUCCAUUAUCAUUUGCUUGGAAGGGCUGCUGAAAGCUCGAGUUGAACACAUCAUCUCCACACACAUCCUUCUGCUGAGAAGUCCUCAAGUUGAAAUGACUGAAGCGCAACUGCAUUUGGGCUAUACAGGCUUAAAAGAUAAAAUAGGCUGAAAUGUCUGAAUCCCUGUCUACGUAAAUGAGACAGUUAAUUCCAAACCUGCACACUUCUUUCAUGUAAGGGCUGGGGAACACCGGAGGUGUUGCACCUUGCAAAGUAAACCAACAUAUCUCCUGUACUGUGUCUCACAAGCAUGAGUAUGCCUUUCUUGGAGAUGGCAGUAGGUGGGAGAUGGGUUUGUCCCAUCUCGCUGUAAUCAAUGUUACGUAAAGAUAACACUUGUUGUCCUACCCUUGAAGAGCAAAACCAGGGUUUUAUUUCCUCCUGUCCUUUCCCUCCUGCAUAGUGCAAAGGUCAGCAUCAGCAAUCAGGAUGCUCUCCAGGGUGGUGGAGGUGUGGGCUGGAACUGCUUUGCAGUGCCAAGGGACUGAUUUAUUUUUAGUUAUUUUUAAUUAAGGAAGAUCAGGCUUCUUAAAUCAACAGCAUUCCCCCUGUAUCUUUCCUUUCUUCAGGCAACCACAACGAAAAAGGCUCCAACAGGAAGCCAAAAAGAAAUAAUGAGUAGCAAAGUAUGCCUCAAUUCCCUUUCCUUCCCUGUUUCUGGAAUUUAGGCACCCAAAUUAAGGCUGUGGUCCGAUGCUGCCAUUGUUUUUUGACCAUCAAAUCGUAUCUUCAAAAUCAACGUGUGAAAAAGUUCUCUCAAGUAACCGCACAGGCUACCUAGUGCCUUUGAGAAUGAUGUAGGUCUCCUAUAUAUCUGAUGUCAUCAGUUACCACACUAAGCAAUGUGACUGCAUAGUUUAUGGGCCCUCAGGGUUUUCUUUGAUGGCUCUCUGGAGCAGAGAUGCAGAAAUUCUGCCUAAACAUUUAUUUGGAUGCAUAUAGAAAUGCAUUCUUAGACAUAAUCCUUCCUGUUUGAUUUUGGCUGAGGAGCAGUGCCUGAUUUGUUUUAGUUUGUGAUGGUUGUAAAUUGGAAAAAAAUAAUUAUGCCAAGUGGAGUCAUAUUCAUAUAACACUACAUUAUUUCAUAUUUUACAUUACCCUUGUGUAAAUGUGCUUCUAAUGCAUGUUGCCUAACUCCUAGGGUUACUGAGAAAAUAAAUUCAAAAUUGUUUACA
Molecule: long non-coding RNA, 2149 nt
Organism: Numida meleagris (helmeted guineafowl)
Lineage: Eukaryota; Metazoa; Chordata; Aves; Galliformes; Numididae
Source: Ensembl